This 278-nucleotide ribosomal RNA is filed under the name uncultured Synechococcus sp. Its description in RNAcentral is "partial 16S ribosomal RNA". It matches the Rfam family "Bacterial small subunit ribosomal RNA", at positions 1254 to 1533 of the family's 1533-position model. Lineage: Bacteria; Bacillati; Cyanobacteriota; Cyanophyceae; Synechococcales; Synechococcaceae. The record is from RNAcentral.
AAUGCGAGGAAGCAAUCCCAUAAACCGUGGCUCAGUUCAGAUCGUAGGCUGCAACUCGCCUACGUGAAGGAGGAAUCGCUAGUAAUCGCAGGUCAGCAUACUGCGGUGAAUACGUUCCCGGGCCUUGUACACACCGCCCGUCACACCAUGGAAGUUGGCCACGCCCGAAGCCGUUACUCCAACCCUUGUGGAGGAGGACGUCGAAGGUGGGGCUGAUGACUGGGGUGAAGUCGUAACAAGGUAUCCGUACCGGAAGGUGCGGAUGGAUCACCUCCUAA